RNAcentral lists this small nucleolar RNA (207 nucleotides) under Castor canadensis (American beaver). Its description in RNAcentral is "Small nucleolar RNA SNORA73 family (ENSCCNG00000007481.1)". It matches the Rfam family "Small nucleolar RNA SNORA73 family". From Rfam's summary of the family: U17 (SNORA73A and SNORA73B) also known as E1 belongs to the H/ACA class of small nucleolar RNAs (snoRNAs). Vertebrate U17 is intron-encoded and ranges in length from 200-230 nucleotides, longer than most snoRNAs. Lineage: Eukaryota; Metazoa; Chordata; Mammalia; Rodentia; Castoridae. The record is from Rfam by way of RNAcentral.
CCAAUGUGGAUAACCCCAGGAGUUCAGGCUCCUGGCUCUGUCCAAGUGGCACAGGGGAGCACAGGGCUUGGGCUCUGCCUCGUGAUGUGCAGUCCCUUUCUGAAGUGCUGGAGAAAAGGCUGGGCCUUGAGUGCGCCUGCAUACUCCUCCUCCUUCUCAGAGUCCUGUGGCCAAUGACUGAGGAGACAAACUGCACAGGAGACCGUC